UCAGCUGGGGACCAGGGGUCCUUUCGUUUUUCCAGGGCGCACCGGGUACCCGGCUGCGCGAGAAUGACUUGCGGUACCGAAGACAGGAGUCACCACGAUGUCCACCAACUCUCCCG
This 116-nucleotide ribosomal RNA is filed under the name Streptomyces sp. OM5714. Lineage: Bacteria; Bacillati; Actinomycetota; Actinomycetes; Kitasatosporales; Streptomycetaceae. The record is from RNAcentral.